ACCUCGUUAAAAUGGUCUCUGUGAUUUCCAUCCAGACGACCGGGCCACGCAGCACCUCCCAGCCUGAUCCUGAGAUGUUUCAGAAUCAGCCAGUGGCUGGGAAGGGUGGGUUGUGACGGCCCCAGAAGCUUCUCCAGUGAAGGAUGGCUUAACCUGCCUGACGAACCCACUUUACGGCUGAUGCCACGCUUGUGAGAGAAACCAGAGCAGUUUAUUCUGUGGUGUUUAUGUUUUGCAGUCCUAAGUGUCUUUGCCCAUUGCCUGUUUUCCUGCAAAGGUUUUUACUGUUAGGCUGGGUGGUCAGUUUGUCCUGAAAGCUGGUCAGCAUCACACACAGAGUUCUAACUCCUUUACUAGCCUCCCCGACUCAAAGACAGACUCCAGCUAUGGCCUUCAUUUGUUGAAAAGAAGUUUUUCCUUCUCUAAAAUGAUAUUCCUUCUCUACUGGGGACCUAGGGGGGCAGGCGAGGAAGAGGAGCAGGCCUGGGGCCCUUGCUUCUAACCAGAGAACGAGAGCCAGAAUGGCUGGGAGGGCGCCCUGUGGGGACGGUGGCAGGAGAUGCGAUGGGAGGCUGGGUCUCAAGAUGGGGCCAGCAGAGAAGGGUGUGUGUUUUUUCUGGUUUUUAGGAGAAAGGCACCUAGGCAUUUGAUCUGAUGGUAAGUCGUGCUGUGGAAAUCUGAAAUGACCUUUGGGCGGAGGAACACGGUUUGGCUGGAGAGAAGACUCUAUUUGAAUCUGUGGAAGUGGCUUGGGCAGCCUGCACAAGGGCCGCACAAGGCCGGACAUUAAGGCGCCAGAGUCCCACCUCCGGGACCUGCCCUUUCCUGGUCACCUGCGGGCAGGCUGCUCCUCUAGCUGUGUGUUCUGGCUCUUACUCUGCCAGGAAGAACCCUCUGCUCAUGCAGCAGCUUAAACACUGGCUUCUUCAGAGGGGUCAGUGUUCUGACCACUAGGCACAUUUGCAGCUUUCUGUUAGGCUUUUUCAACCAUUUUUGGAAAUGUACGUUUUUCCUUUUGGGCAGUACUGCAGGCUUUUUGCUAAGGGACUUAAAUGACGUCUUCCUGGUUCUUCAGGAGGCUGAGCGCCGGCCGGUCUCCAUGCCCCUCGGGCUGCCAGACUAUGGCUCAUCCUCCCCAAUUCCAGUUCGCACUUUCCUCCCCUCUCUGGCUUCCUUGGCCAACAGCCCUCUCUUUCUGAGGUCGGAGCUUUCUUCGUGGUGGUGGACCCUUCGGGUUAGGACACGGGCCACUGGCUCCACCCUGCCCACGUGGCCACAGCACUCAGCUGUCAGGGCUCGAGGGAGGAACCGCCUCAGAUCAGAAUAUUCUGUCCUGGGUCUGAACUCCAAUAGCAGUUUUCUGUUGGGUCCUGGAUAUACGCGACACUCACGCUCUUCUCCUUUGAAACGUGUUGGGGGUGGGCAGGCAGUGUCAUGUGAUCGCAUGGAACGAGGCCCCGUAGCAAGGGCGGGAGAGGGGCCUGGGUGCCAUCCACCGUACAGGCUCCCCUUACACACUUCGCUUUGCCCAUCGACACACGCACACUAGCGCAUCAGCCACUGUCUCAGAGGCCGAGGGCACCACAUACGCAGAGGUGACCGAGCUGAACGGCCACGUCACCUGCCAUACCGGCGCCAGAGGAGGUCAGCGCGGUCACACUCAGGCCUGGGACCCCUCGCACACCUGACGUGUCACUUCGUGGCCCUCAGAGCAGGGGGCUGGCACCUGCACUCCUACUGUUCCUUCGCCCCCGCAGGCAGCUCCAAGACCCAGAGGAGGCCUGUGGGCAGGUGGGGACCUCUCUAGGAGAAAGACACCUCUUGGCAGAUGGAGAAUUUUCUUUCUUGACCCUCCGCUGGAACCGAAAAUAAAGCAAGAUACAGGAUCAGGAUCAUAGUUUUACUUGACUGCUUUUUCCGUCAGUCUGGCUCCCGCCUGGUCUGUUGCUGUGGACGUCUGGAGAAUGUGAAUGAGCCGGCCGUGGCCACUGCUGAGCCCUCCAUCUCCCCAGGCUGAGAGGAAGGCUUUGCACGGAGCGGGCCAGGGAUGCAGGUUUGCUCUGGGUUUCUAGGUUUCCUGGCAACAGGAAAAUCUUUAAAAAUGCUAAACCCUGAAACCCAUGGUAGUGAAAAGGCCCUGUAGACGCCUGAGUCCUGGAAAAAGUCCCAGAACUCCUCUCAUCGGGCUGAUGGUGUUAAUAAGAACCAGAGCAUCAGAGAGGUGGGCUGCAAGCCCCUCAGAGGGACCCAACUGAGCACCAGUUCCUGCCUCACUCUGGGAGUGAAAUCAGGAAGCGGCAGAGAAAGGAGAAGCCUGUUUCUUCCAGCAGGCAGCUUUCCCUCUGGACACUGGACGCUUGUGCACACAUCCCAGCUGAGCUCCACGCUCCCUAACUCCUGUGGGACCCUCGGCCUCCGCUGCAGCUUUCAGCCUGAGAGGGAGGAUGCCCCGGCCUCUGUGCAAGCACCCUGCUCUUGGACGGGCUUGCCUCCAGAGGGAGAGAACCUGGGAGAGAACCACUUUCCUCAAGUCCUAUGAGGACCCAGGAACACAGGACCCGGGGUUGGAGAGCACCGCGGAACACAAGACAAGGACCUGGCCAGAGUUACCCGUUCUCCACCGGCCUCCCGUCCCCUUUGCUGUCCUACCAGGAGGCAGGGAGGAGGGGCCCCAGCCAGAAUGCCGGCCUUCCCCAGAGGGCCCCCAGGGACAUGCUGGGAAGAAAGAACCCGAUUCACUGACCAAUACUGGUUUCAUUUCUUAAAUUAUCCAAUUCUUGGCCAUCAAAUUGUAACAUUCUAGAGAGAGCCAGGAGAGCACACUUGGCGCCAAGGGCUGUGCUGAGCCUUCUUACUCAGGGACGGCCUCAGCGCUGGGUGGCCAAGGUCCUAGGCUUGUAGACAGGGACAGCCUCGUCCCGGAGAGCCGGCCGCCCCUUGAUGAUGUCGGCCGCCUUCUCUGCGAUCAUGAUGGUGGGGGCGUUGAGGUUGCCGCUGACCACACUGGGCAUGAUGGAGGCGUCGACCACCCUGAGGUUUUCCACCCCGAGGACCCUGGUCUGCGGGUCCACCACUGCCAUGGGGUCGGAGGGCUGGCCCAUCUUGCAGGUGCACGAUGGGUGGUAGGCGCUGUCUGCCUUUGCCCGCACAAAGGCGUCUAUCUCCUCAUCCGACUGGACGUGGCUUCCUGGCUGGAGCUCCCUCCCCCGGAACGGCGCCAGAGCUUUCUGUGCAAAAAUUUCUCUGGUCAGCCUCACACACCGACGGAAGUCAUCGAUGUCAGUUUCUGUCAAGGAGAAGAAACAGGUUACAUGCCUCCUCUUACCAUGCUGGCCUCGCUGGAAGAUCCGCCGCUGGGAGAGGCUCAAGAAGCUGCCCGAGGGGACACGGUUCAGGGACACGGAGGUCCAAGCCACCGGGUUGCCUGUCACCUACCCAUCAGCAGUUACAGUGCAACCGAGCAGAGUCCCACGAAGCCCAAACAGACAGCAUCCUAGACGGACACAGCUUGCCCCGGAGGCCCUACGUUUAAAUCAAUCGGAGAUCUGAAUUUUCUUAUCUAUAAAAUAGAGAUAAGACUACACGUCCUGCCUCUGCCACAGCACACUCCGGGCAGCUGGAGAGCAGGGCACCGCCUUCUGGGCCGCCCACCCUGGAGGCCCUGCUGCAGUGGGGAGACGACCUGCUCACCUGAUGGGCCGUGGCUCCAUCCCCUGAGGAUCAGAAGACGAUGAGGCAGAGGAGCAAGUCCAGGUGUGGCAGGACCUCCUGUUGUGAGACACCUCAGGCAAGAGGCUAUCAUCGUGCCUGGCCAAGGCGAGUGGUUUUGGUUAAUGGUUCCCUAACAACUCGAGAGCCCACUCUCGGGCCCUGGAAGGGGUCUCCCUUCCUGCAACAGCUGGCGACUCUGGUGGAAUCUCUUCUUUACCACGACUGACAUCCUGACUGCUCAGGCACCAGCUCACCUACCGACGGACCAGACCCAGAGGCCACCACUGGGACCCUCUUGUCUCUGAUCUCCUCCUGACGCAGAUGACUGGCCAGAGUGCCCCGCCCAGGCAGUUAAACUGAUGCUUUGCAAAAGUGCUUCAUCUUCAAGAAGAUUCACAGAAAGGGCUUUAGACAAGUACAGGUUUCUGAUAACUUUUAAAUCAUACUACUAAACUAGGUAAGACUUUUUUUUUUGAGUAGCUAUUUUAUUUAUGUCUUGUCUGUCUUUCUUUAUUUAUUUGUUUAUUUUAUUUUAUUUUUGGCUGCACUGCGAGGCAUGUGGGAUCUUAGUUCCCCGACCAGGGAUGGAACCUUGGCGUAUGAACCACUGGACUGCAGGGGAAAUCCCAGGUCUAUCUGGAAUACGAUGACAAUAUUCCGGCUACCCAGAUGCAUACACAACAUGAAAUACUGUCUCAUCCAUAGGCUCAUUUAUUUCACUAACGGCGGUAAUAUUAAUAAUUUUCAUAAUUUGAGAGGCAUUAGCAUCAAAACGAGAAGUCUCAACAGUAAAGCUAACAUAUCUCCCAGGAGAAUUCGGGAGGGGCAAAAGAAGGAGGAGAAGACCAAUCUCCCAGAGUCCUUCUCGCUGGAAUCCAUCUUGGCUGAGAGACGCACGCACCACCAGGAAGGACCCUGAGUCAGACUAUGGGCCAAGCGAGAUGACUGGCCAGAGACAACCCAGAAACUAACCCAUUACCAUAAAACCUGAGCCUGCGAGGCACGUGGCAGAGCGGUUCUCCUGGGUUCCCCCAGGCUCUCUGCCUUGGGGUUCCUUCCCAAUAAAGUCUUUUGCUUUGUCAGUA
This is a long non-coding RNA of Lagenorhynchus albirostris (white-beaked dolphin), 4796 nucleotides long. RefSeq lists it as uncharacterized. NCBI's taxonomy places the organism in Eukaryota, Metazoa, Chordata, Mammalia, Artiodactyla, Delphinidae. The record is from RefSeq and is a predicted model, not a curated record. The transcript is spliced from 7 exons.